This 467-nucleotide ribosomal RNA is filed under the name uncultured bacterium. RNAcentral describes it as "partial 16S ribosomal RNA". It matches the Rfam family "Bacterial small subunit ribosomal RNA", at positions 28 to 507 of the family's 1533-position model. The record is from RNAcentral.
GAUGAACGCUGGCGGCGUGCUUAACACAUGCAAGUCGAACGGAAAGGCCCAAGCUUGCUUGGGUACUCGAGUGGCGAACGGGUGAGUAACACGUGGGUGAUCUGCCCUGCACUUCGGGAUAAGCCUGGGAAACUGGGUCUAAUACCGGAUAGGACCACAUUUUGGAUGGUGUGGUGGAAAGUUUUUCGGUGUGGGAUGAGCUCGCGGCCUAUCAGCUUGUUGGUGGGGUAAUGGCCUACCAAGGCGUCGACGGGUAGCCGGCCUGAGAGGGUGUACGGCCACAUUGGGACUGAGAUACGGCCCAGACUCCUACGGGAGGCAGCAGUGGGGAAUAUUGCACAAUGGGCGCAAGCCUGAUGCAGCGACGCCGCGUGGGGGAUGACGGCCUUCGGGUUGUAAACUCCUUUCGCUAGGGACGAAGCGUUUUUGUGACGGUACCUGGAGAAGAAGCACCUGCUAACUACGUG